UCAACAAGUCAAAUCCAAUUUUACAGUAAAUCGCUCUGAACGGGGUUAUCAGAACACUCUACAGAGAGGAGAUUACAUCUCUGCACAGGAAGAACCUGAUGUCUACCGCUUAUGUUUUCCAUCUGAAACAUGCUAAUUAAUACUAAUUAAUCAACAACAUUAACAACAUCAUGUCUCUGAUUGUCUCCUCUUUGGAUUCUUUGCCUCCCUGCAGAGCGUCCUUUUCAUACCUCCACCCGCCCCUGUUGUUCUGAUCAACACCCCAUGUAUCUCAGUGUAUCUACUCAUUUCCAGCUGCAUUUGAAGUCCUUGAACACAGCAGAGCCAACCAGAGCUUUGUAAGCAGGAUGAAGAAUGUGGAGCCAGAGCCAGAAAAAUUGCUUCAAAAACAAGCGUGGACUAGAUCAACGUAACUGAACAGGUUGUUCGAGUUGAGACACACUGCUGCUGUGCCCACAUCGGUUGUUAUGGUGUAUGGUGGUAUGGCUCAUUAAAGAUGGCAAGUGCAGAGCCUCCACCACUAGUUUUGGCUGACAAAGAAAACAGCAGGAGUUCUGUUUGGAAAUACUUCACAUUUGAGGUGAUCGUUAGCGCGUCCUGGAACACCUGAGGCCCCACAGUGUUUCCAGGUUAUUUAAUCCUGGUUGCAGCAGACAGCUCUGUCUCUCUGACAGCUCUCUUUCCCUUCUCCCUACAGGCACCUGUUUGUUUGGGUUAUGUUGCUUUAGUUCCUUGUUUUUGCUUUCGUGCACCCUACAACACACACACACACACACACACACACACACACACACUGCACUCAAGCUUAUGACACUACUGGUUUCCAUACCCCAUAUUGUAACUAUUUAAUCCUUUAAUUUGGCUUACUUUGUGUAAUAAACUUGUGUGUCUUCCUAUUUGUUGUGGCCAAAGAGCCAAGUCAUAACAAAGUGUGUGUGUGUGUGUGUUCAGUUCUGUUCAUGCACAUAAGGAGCUGCAGUAUGACGAUGUGUGGUCUUUUCAGAUUUACCAAUUUUCUUCUUUUAGCCAGUGCAGAACCACCAUCCCUUUGCUAGUGGUGCUGUCUGGGUCCACACUUCCCACUGGGUUGUCCCAAGUGCUGCAGAUCCGCCACCACUGCAGCGGCGGCUGGUGUGCGGGGGAUGUUCUAUCUCCGUAGCAUCUGCAGGGACUCCGGUAUUUUCCCUGACUCCUCCAUGAACAGCCUCCAUUGGAAGAUCUUGGUCUGGUUCCAGGAGGGAUCUGUUGAAGCCAGAGAUGUCCAGGAUGUUGUAGAAGGGAACCAAGGGCCACCAACAGAUCCUCCUCCUACAGCUAUAGGUGUCGACAAUCAGCAAAAAGAAAAAAAGAAAAAGACCAAAGAAUAAAUGAAUAUCUUAUCCAUGUUGUCGACAGCUCUUUGCAGCGGUUGUAGUCAGUAAUUAUUGUUGGCUGCUGGUGCUUUGCAUUACUCACAGCUGGCUCA
Long non-coding RNA from Thunnus maccoyii (southern bluefin tuna), 1465 nucleotides. RefSeq lists it as uncharacterized. Lineage: Eukaryota; Metazoa; Chordata; Actinopteri; Scombriformes; Scombridae. The transcript has 3 exons. The record is from RefSeq and is a predicted model, not a curated record.